UACCCCACUCAGUAAGGCAUUGUUCUUCUAUGCUUAUAUACUGAACAGUGCCUUUCUGUGUAGAGUA
Molecule: microRNA precursor, 67 nt
Filed under: Mesocricetus auratus (golden hamster)
Lineage: Eukaryota; Metazoa; Chordata; Mammalia; Rodentia; Cricetidae
Description: miRNA (ENSMAUG00000003246.1)
Source: RNAcentral